Molecule: long non-coding RNA, 490 nt
Filed under: Spirodela polyrhiza (greater duckweed)
Lineage: Eukaryota; Viridiplantae; Streptophyta; Magnoliopsida; Alismatales; Araceae
Description: long non-coding RNA (SPOL_LNC000650)
Source: RNAcentral
AGUGGAACUUCGACAAGCUGCAGACGGGGGACAUCGUGGAGGAGAUCGCCAUCGGGAGCUCCUCCCUCUUCACGGCCCCCUUCAAGAACGGCUGCAGCGGCGUGCAGAAGAUGCUCCGCUCGUCGUUCAAGCGCGGGGAGACCUCCAUCUCGGUGCGCGUCCGGCGAGGGAGAGACGAGUCCGUGUCUCUCCACGCUUGCAUCGUCCCCCACGAGCAGGCCGGCAGGAAGCACUACAUGCUCCGCUCCAUCGACGAUCCCAACUACGCCGUCGCCUUCGUCGAUCGCCUGGAGAGCGAGUGCAUACAGCUACAAGGUGAGAAAAUCCCGCGCCGACCGAAAAUUUGUCGAGCAGUUCGUUCCUUCUGACCUGCUCGUCUGCUUGAUCUUUCACGAAAAGCUUCGAGGAGCUCGAGGGUGGCCUCCGCGCUCAGCAGGACGCAGUUGCAGGACGGGUACGUAUCGUACCCAUGGGAGAAGAAGAUGAGGGA